RNAcentral lists this ribosomal RNA (346 nucleotides) under Diutina catenulata. RNAcentral's name for it is "eukaryotic LSU rRNA". The stretch from base 47 to 199 matches the Rfam family "5.8S ribosomal RNA". Lineage: Eukaryota; Fungi; Ascomycota; Pichiomycetes; Serinales; Debaryomycetaceae. The record is from RNAcentral.
UGCUUACUUNNAUAACCUAUUAAACAAUCAACCNACUAAUACCAAAAACUUCCAACAACGGAUCUCUUGGUUCUCGCAUCGAUGAAGAACGCAGCGAAAUGCGAUACGUAAUAUGAAUUGCAGAUUUUGUGAAUCAUCGAAUCUUUGAACGCACAUUGCGCCCGUGGGUAUUCCCGCGGGCAUGCGUGUGUGAGCGGUUAUCUCCCUCGCAGGUAAUGGACAUACGGCGUCAGCUGUUCCUCCAAAAAGUGAUUGGUGUAGUAUUACAGUUUACUCACAACCAUACUUUUUCCCUCACACACGUAAGACUACCCGCUGAACUUAAGCAUAUCAAUAANCGGAGGAA